Mustela lutreola (European mink) is the source of this 4326-nucleotide RNA transcript. It is a transcript of the gene named spermatogenesis associated 18, with no coding region annotated. NCBI's taxonomy places the organism in Eukaryota, Metazoa, Chordata, Mammalia, Carnivora, Mustelidae. The transcript is spliced from 13 exons. The record is from RefSeq and is a predicted model, not a curated record.
GGCGGCGCGGGAGCGCGAGACCGCGCCGGGCGGCGGAUGAGGCGCGGCGGCUGCGGCCCAGGGCACCUCCCCGCCCCCCGGCUUGCCGAACCCUGCCGGCUCUGACCCGAGGCGGAGGAUGGCAGCAGCAGCCGUGCUCUGAGCCCCUGCGGAGAACACCCUUCCCGCCGCGUCGCCCCGGGGGCCCGCGGACGCCGCCGCCUCGUCCCCUCCACGUCUCCCAUCUCCCAGAGCGCGGCCGAGUGCAAAAGUGAGCGAUGGCAGAAAACCUGAGGAAACUGGUCUCGAGCGAAACUUUGCGACUGAUGCACGACAAGCUAGACGGCUGGCUGAGGGAGUACAACGCAAACACAUGUGAUCAAAAUCUUAGUCAUUGCCUUGAGCUCAUCGAACAAAUUUCCAAAGUACAAGGACAGCUCUUUCGGAUCCUCACCACGGCAGCCCAAGAAGGCGGACAUUACGAUGGUGUGGAAAUCAUCAAAUCGCGCCUUCUGCCUUGGCUGGAGGCCUCCUUUACUGCUGCUUCCCUGGGAAAACCUGUUGACAGCAGGGUGCCCUCUCUACAGGACACAUUUGAUAAAGAGAAACAUAAAGAGUCAGGUGUUCGUGAUCGGGACAUGCAACAGCUAGACUCUGAGUUGACUUCGACUCGUAAUCAACUCAACCAGGUUCAAGACGAUCUGGCUGAAACUGAAAAGACUCUUGAAGAAACCAAGAACAGAUCGGCCAUAUCCCUUUUGGCUGCAGAGGAGGAAAUAAAUCAGCUAAAAAAGCAGCUUAAAUCUCUUCAAAUCCAGGAGGACUCCCGCCACCGAAACUUAGAACACAGAAGCACAGAGCACCGGUGUUCGGAGCCUAGAGCCUCCGAACCGAGGACCUCUGAGCAGAGGAGGCUGGACCAGCGACGCAUUGACAAGCGGGGCUCAGAGCAGCGGCCCGAAGUGAUUUCCGAUUAUGAGAAACAGCUCCGAACGCUGAAGGACGAGAUAGCGGUUUUGUCUGCUGAAAAAUCUGCACUUCAAGGAAGGUCCGCCAGGAGCCGGACUCCCAGCCCUGGCCCUCGCAGCCGUAGCCACAGCCACAGCCGCAGCCACAGUCACAGCCACAGCCGCAGCCGCAGCCGCAGCCACAGCCACAGCCGCAGCCGCAGCCGGUCCACCAGUCCCUCCGCCGCCGUCGUGAAGAUCAGGACCCCGUCCCCGAAUCGCGCCAAAAUGUCCAACGUGGCGCGCAAGGCUGCCCUCCUGUCCCGGUUCAGCGACGCCUAUUCCCAGGCCCGCCUGGACGCGCAGUGCCUGCUGCGGCGCUGCAUUGACAAAGCCGAGACCGUGCAGCGGAUUAUCUACAUCGCCACCGUGGAGGCAUUCCAUGUAGCUAAGAUGGCAUUCAGACAUUUCAAGAUCCGCGUGAGGAAAUCGUUGACACCAUCUCUCGCGGGGUCGAAUAACUUUGAAGAUGCUGUCUCGGAUUAUAUCAUUUGUCAUCUUGAUCUAUAUGAUUCCCAAAGCAGUGUUAACGAUGUGAUCCGAGCCAUGAAUGUCAAUCCCAAGAUUUCAUUUCCUCCUGAAGUUGACUUUUGCCUCCUCAGCAACUUCAUCCAGGAGAUAUGCUGCAUUGCCUUUGCCAUGCAGGCUUUAGACCCACCCCUAGAUAUUGCAUUUGGGGCGGACGGAGAAAUUUUUAAUGAUUGCAAGUACCGUCGCAGCUAUGACUCUGAUUUCACUGCUCCCUUGGUCCUCUAUCACGUGUGGCCUGCUCUCAUGGAGAAUGACUGUGUCAUUAUGAAGGGAGAAGCUGUCACCAAGAGAGGGGCUUUUGUACGGUGGCCUUGCAUAGUGACAAUUCAUCCCAAGUGUUUGAUUCACAAUGGAAUUCGGUGCGAUCUGUAAGUCGAUGUCGAAGCAGGAGUUUAAGCCCUGUCUGCCCCCGUAGCCGUAUUGGUUUAAGCACGAUAUCUCGAAGCCGGAGCCCUUCUCCAAUAAGAUGCGGAUUGCCGAGGUUUUAAAGCCACCAGACGUGUCCCUUUGCUACAGUACAUCUGCACCAGCAACUUCCCCAGUGCCUGUCUCCUGUGCCUGCCUCAGAACUCACUAAAGAUAAUGUGAAAAUGCAAUUCUGUGUAUCCCUCCACACGGAGAGUUAAAUGUCUUGGCUUAGCAUGUUUGUAACUUCAGAUAUAUUGCAUUUUAUUUUAUUUUAGAGAUACAAAUUCCAUUACUUUGAUAAAAAUGAUUGCAUAGGUGUUUAGGAUCAUAUUCAUUUGAAGCAAAGUCCCUCAGGGUUUUCAUCCUCAAAUACUAGGCUCUUCAGUGGCAACUGUAGAAACUUAAGCUGAGGAUAUUUGCCAAGUGGAGUUGAAAAGACAGAGUCAGUUUAGUUUAUAGAUGAAUCAUAAAUGUUAUAAUUGCUGGUAUUAGCUUAAGGCUUAGAAACAAUAUUGAGUGUUUUAGUUUUCUUUUGUUUGGAAGACAGCCCUAAUCCCAGGUUGGGGAAUUUGUCCUAGUAGCAGUGACUUUGGGCUACCCGAAGAUGGCAUUGAUUUCAGAGAAUCGAGUUCACUGGCUGGCUUCUCUUUUCCUGAUUUGAGACUGUCCUGUUUGGUUUAGUUGGGUACCAAUGCCAAAGUUCCUUACCAAAGGAAAUGUUCUUGCUUCAUAAAUGGGGAGAAGUGAUUUGGCUGGAAGCCAGCUUUGAGAGAAAUGUUAAUUACUUCGUGUUUAACUGGUGGGAAUGUUUCAUACAGUAUUAAUGUACAUGUUACAUAUAGAAACGACAUGGGCGUGUGCUGUAUCUGUUCCACGUAGUUGUUUGCAAAUUCAGUCCUCCUAAGAAAAGCAUCUGACUAAAAAUAUCUAAGCUUGGGGCUUAAAACCAGGGGUACCUUUUAUUGAUUUUUAAAUUGAGCCUCUAUACCUUGAUUUCUUUACUGUGAAGGACUGUUGAAAAAGUUCAAGUUUAAUGUAAUAAUGGAACAUAGCUUUCCCAAGAUAAGUGAUGUUUUGUCUGCUCCCCCCCCCGCCCCCCCCCCCCACUUUAAUGUGGUCUUAAACACAAGACUCAUGAAUGACUGCUUUCUCUGUGUGCCUUUUGGAGAGAAACUAUGAAUUGACCACAGCUCCAUCUGCACAAACUCAGUGCCCAAACUAGCACCUAAUGCUUUUUAGGUGGAAAACAAAACAAAACAAGACAAAGCCAAAGCAAGAACUUCUCUGAACCCUCUUGUCCCCUGUGCUGGUAGCUAGAGAUGAGGAGAGACCUUCUCCAGCCCCAUCCCUUAGGUCUAAUGGUCACCAACUUCAUUCUCAAGUGUGAGGUUCAUUUUUCUCCCUCUGUGUGUUUUUAUGUAGUCAUCGCAUCAAGGCGAGGCAGCCUGCUGAAAGGAGGACUUGGUGUUUAGGUAGUUCCUGUUCUGGCUUGGUCAUCAGUUGGCUGUGUGGCCUUGAACAAGUUACUCCUCCUCUCUGAGUCUCACUUUUAUUUUAGAGUGUGUAGGUUGGAUGAGAUUAGUUGUUCUCUCAAUGCUUGCAGAUUCAGUGUUCCUUUAUAACAAAUGUUCUGGUUAUUCUGAAAUAAAAUUCCAUGUCCAUAUGACCCAAAUGCAUAUAGACUUUUAAACAAUGAGUAUAGUAUCCUAACUUUAGUACAAAGCAGAAAAAAGGAAAAGCAGUUUUUAAUAACAUGGGCUUCAGUCAGAAGGCUUCAGUCUUGCCAUCCUAGAUGAUAAGAUGAAAUCAUAGAUGCUUAGCCCUGUGUGUAAUCAUGAGCUACAAAUGCAGAUCAAUGAGCAUUGUAUUGGCAAUAUCACGAACAGCAUUGGAUAUGAUAUUCUGAAAUGGAGCACAACUCCCAAUAAAGUUUUGAACAAAAUCUUAGUCAUGCCUUGAUUUACAUAGUAAGCACAUUUCUGGAAAAGUCAGUGUACAUUAAAACCAUGCAACUAUUACUUUGUGUUUUGUGUUAAAAAAAAACCCUUUUAAAAAAUCUCACUAAGCAAUGAGAAUUCAUUUUUAGGAGUUGAACUGGGGAACACAGGCCCUACUUAGAAAAUGUUGACACAUAGCUCAGUUUAUUUGCUCUGUAUCUUGUCUGGCCACUUGUCAUUUCUCAGGUCUCUCAUUUGAACUGUAACCACACAGGGAACAGUGGUGAAGAGUCUAGAAUAAUUUUUGGAAAGGAUUCACAAAAGCAAAAAAGGUUGACCUGUACUCAUCUGGGCACGCACCUUAAUCUUAGUAACUUUGAAAUAUGAAAAACUCCUGCUUUGUCAACAGGUAAAUGUCAAUUUCUGUAUGAUUGAUUCAACAUCUAAUAAAAAAAUCAAGAAAA